RNAcentral lists this ribosomal RNA (786 nucleotides) under Escherichia coli. RNAcentral describes it as "partial 23S ribosomal RNA". It matches the Rfam family "Bacterial large subunit ribosomal RNA", at positions 2157 to 2925 of the family's 2925-position model. Lineage: Bacteria; Pseudomonadati; Pseudomonadota; Gammaproteobacteria; Enterobacterales; Enterobacteriaceae. The record is from RNAcentral.
UUGAAGUGUGGACGCCAGUCUGCAUGGAGCCGACCUUGAAAUACCACCCUUUAAUGUUUGAUGUUCUAACGUUGACCCGUGAUCCGGGUUGCGGACAGUGUCUGGUGGGUAGUUUGACUGGGGCGGUCUCCUCCUAAAGAGUAACGGAGGAGCACGAAGGUUGGCUAAUCCUGGUCGGACAUCAGGAGGUUAGUGCAAUGGCAUAAGCCAGCUUGACUGCGAGCGUGACGGCGCGAGCAGGUGCGAAAGCAGGUCAUAGUGAUCCGGUGGUUCUGAAUGGAAGGGCCAUCGCUCAACGGAUAAAAGGUACUCCGGGGAUAACAGGCUGAUACCGCCCAAGAGUUCAUAUCGACGGCGGUGUUUGGCACCUCGAUGUCGGCUCAUCACAUCCUGGGGCUGAAGUAGGUCCCAAGGGUAUGGCUGUUCGCCAUUUAAAGUGGUACGCGAGCUGGGUUUAGAACGUCGUGAGACAGUUCGGUCCCUAUCUGCCGUGGGCGCUGGAGAAUUGAGGGGGGCUGCUCCUAGUACGAGAGGACCGGAGUGGACGCAUCACUGGUGUUCGGGUUGUCAUGCCAAUGGCACUGCCCGGUAGCUAAAUGCGGAAGAGAUAAGUGCUGAAAGCAUCUAAGCACGAAACUUGCCCCGAGAUGAGUUCUCCCUGACUCCUUGAGAGUCCUGAAGGAACGUUGAAGACGACGACGUUGAUAGGCCGGGUGUGUAAGCGCAGCGAUGCGUUGAGCUAACCGGUACUAAUGAACCGUGAGGCUUAACCUUACAACGCCGAAG